RNAcentral lists this ribosomal RNA (301 nucleotides) under uncultured bacterium. RNAcentral's name for it is "partial 16S ribosomal RNA". It matches the Rfam family "Bacterial small subunit ribosomal RNA", at positions 509 to 807 of the family's 1533-position model. The record is from RNAcentral.
CAGCCGCCACGGUAAAACGGAGGGGGCUAGCGUUGUUCGGAAUUACUGGGCGUAAAGCGCACGUAGGCGGCUUGGUAAGUUAGAGGUGAAAGCCCGGAGCUCAACUCCGGAAUUGCCUUUAAGACUGCCGAGCUAGUAGGUGAGAGAGGUAAGUGGAAUUCCGAGUGUAGAGGUGAAAUUCGUAGAUAUUCGGAAGAACACCAGUGGCGAAGGCGGCUUACUGGCUCAUUCUAGACGCUGAGGUGCGAAAGCGUGGGGAGCAAACAGGAUUAGAUACCCCCGUAGUCCCUGUCUCUUAUAC